RNAcentral lists this long non-coding RNA (225 nucleotides) under Elaeis guineensis (African oil palm). RNAcentral's name for it is "long non-coding RNA (EGUI_LNC073236)". The record is from RNAcentral. Lineage: Eukaryota; Viridiplantae; Streptophyta; Magnoliopsida; Arecales; Arecaceae.
CCGCAAAUCAUGGACAACGUUAAAGAAGUUAUAUAUAGAUGGUAAUGUAAGAUUUAAUUAUAUAAUUAUAUGGCAAUGUAAGAUUUAAAAUGAUGUAUUUUAUUGGCCAAUAACUUAAUAGUCUGUAACUAAGUUAAUUGAAAUUGAAAAACUUGAUUCUGCCUUUCAAGUAUGCAUCUCGAGUCCAAAUAUUAUAGGUUUCCUUAUGAUAAGUAUACAAAAGAG